UCAGACGAUGCGUCAUGCAUAUCAAUAAGCGGAGGAAAAGAAACUAACAAGGAUUCCCCUAGUAACGGCGAGUGAAGCGGGAAGAGCUCAAAUUUGAAAUCUUAAAGGGUUUCCCUUUACGAAUUGUAGUUUAAAGAAGUGUUUUCUGUUGAGAUUUUGGUAAAAGUUCUUUGGAAUAGGACAUCAUAGAGGGUGAGAAUCCCGUAUUUGACCUUUACUUUCAACUUUGUGAUACACUUUCAAAGAGUCGGAUUGUUUGGGAAUGCAGUCCAAAAUGGGUGGUAAAUCUCAUCUAAAGCUAAAUAUUGGCGAGAGACCGAUAGCGAACAAGUACCGUGAGGGAAAGAUGAAAAGAACUUUGAAAAGAGAGUUAAACAGUACGUGAAAUUGUCAAAAGGGAAGCGUUUGACACCAGUGUUGUUUUUCUGAAAAUCAAUUAAAGAACUGUUUAUGCUAAGCUGUUUAGACUUUAUCAGCUAUCUGUUUAGUUUUGAGCUUUUCUUUAAUGCACUUUUCAGUUAACAAGUCAACAUCAAUUUCUUUUGCUGUAAAAAAGCUUGAGGAAGGUGGCUUGAGAUUCGUCUUAAGUGUUUAUAGCCUCUUGCCUAUGCAGUCGGAGAGAUUGAGGUCUGCAGCGUAGAUCCUUCGGGGCUAAAUGCAUUUGUGCUAAGUUAUAGCAUUUCAUAGACAACUUGUUGACUAUGAUUUGUCUUGUAGCUUACUCGCUUAUGUUAUUUUACCUACGCUUAGGAUGUUGAAUCUGUGCGAGACUAC
Molecule: ribosomal RNA, 774 nt
Filed under: uncultured Neocallimastigales
Lineage: Eukaryota; Fungi; Neocallimastigomycota; Neocallimastigomycetes; Neocallimastigales
Description: partial large subunit ribosomal RNA
Rfam family: Eukaryotic large subunit ribosomal RNA
Source: RNAcentral